This is a long non-coding RNA of Leopardus geoffroyi (Geoffroy's cat), 811 nucleotides long. RefSeq lists it as uncharacterized. The record is from RefSeq and is a predicted model, not a curated record. Lineage: Eukaryota; Metazoa; Chordata; Mammalia; Carnivora; Felidae. The transcript is spliced from 2 exons.
CCUUGGCCGCCUGCGCGGUCCCAGGGUGUGGGAAGAGGUCAAAACGAAAGGGCCGGGAAGCACGGCCCCCGCGGGGAAUCCUAGUCCAGUUCUGGGCGUGGCAUCAUUCUCCCACCACCACCUAGUUCCCACCCCCUCGCUGCCUCGCGUUCACUUCCCCUCAGGGACGCAUCCGCCUUCCAAGUUCACAUCGCACCUUUUUGCGCAAGGGACUUCCUCCAGGCCAGGCCAUCCUGCUCUGUGCUGGGUGUCCCUGUGAGCGGCCAGCAGAAGCCGAGUGAAGCUCAUGCCAGUUUGGACUCUGGGAACUCACCGCUCUCGGGACUCAACAACUCUGUGCACCAGCCAGUUUCCCGUCCUCUGAGAUGUCUGACUCCUCCUGGUCUUACAGGUCUGUGUUACACCGAUUUCUGCACCCACUCACGUUACACUUUUCCUAAUAGUCAAUUGCACCUACUCCCAGCUUCGGAGAGAGGACAGCACUUACCUCCAUUUUGACUUCAAACUUUCUAACUGAUUAAAUUUUUUCUAGCUUAUCUUUUAACUCAGGCAAAAGACCUAAAACCUAUCCCCCUCAGGCAAUAGGGACUGCCCAGCUGCCAGCCACACCCCAUGUGAUUGACCUCAAAGACAAUGGUUGGUUUGAAGGUCACAGCCUAUCUGCAUGCACCCACAGACCUUUGUCCCACGUUUUCCUUAUAUAAGUCUUGAAAUAUUUUUGGUACUUUGGAGACAGUCCUCGAGGGCUUAGUCUGCUGUCUUCCCAAGUGUUGGCCUCACUGAAAUAAAUUUAUUUCUGGUUUGACCACCA